UUCUCUUCAUUCUGGGGGUUCUGACGGGCUCCAGGAAGGUCUGUGUAUGUCUUGUUUUUGUAUUUGUAUUCCUAGAAUUUGGUACCUUAUUUGGUAUAUGUUAAACUGCUUCAUAGAUGUAAUUCAUUCAUUUAAGUAGAGGCAAACCAGUAAAAAAAUCAGGAAAUGGCCAAACUUUAGAAUGACAGGGCUGCAAACAAACGAACCUGUUGAGUGUGUUUCUAUUCUCCUUCUAGUGGCUUUUAGGAAACAUGCUCUGACCUCAGAAGGGGAACAGCAUCUCCAAGAACCAGAUGAAAAAAAGAGGAAGUCCCCAUCUUGGGUUUAAAGCACAAGUUUGGAGUGUCACCAAAAGCUGAUGUUACAAAGAUCCAUUUCAUUGGGGAAGAAGAGCACUUGAUCCAGCAAACAUAUUUUCUCUCUCCAUCCUUUGGAUAGCAAACACAUCAACAUUAUAUGUUAUUGACUGCUGCUUCCCUAGCCCUUGAUCUGCUGCAACCUGGCUCUGACAUGACUUCUACUGAAAAUGGAUCUUUAAAACUUACCAACCCAGCUAACCUUGCAAGCAUGUCCAUUUGGAAGAUAUUCUAUUGUUCCAUUUUGGCGGCUUGAACUGUUUUUCUAUAAUCAGGUAAGAUAUGAGGUGAGGAAGUUUCAGUGAAUAGCUAGGACUGGCUUCCCAUUCUUGGACGCACCAAGGAGCCUCUCUGGAGCUUGUCUUUCUGGUUCCUACCACUGAACCAUAGCCACGUGUGGCAUCACUGAUUCUAUCUUGCCUGGUUUUCUAGCCACAGGAUUGUCAGUCUAAUCCCUCAGGAGAUGAGGAAACCAAAGAGACAAUGGGACAUCCAAAAUCACAUAGACUUUGAGCAAAAGGAUCUUUAACUGAGUAGGUUUUCCCAUCAUGCCAUGCUGUUACCUGUUAUAGCUUUUCUAGCUUAUCCCACACCUCUCUGAUCUGCCCUUCUUCUGGGUCAAGAACAUGAAAUAAAAGCCUAAAAACUUGUGAAAUCA
This 1014-nucleotide long non-coding RNA is filed under the name Monodelphis domestica (gray short-tailed opossum). RNAcentral's name for it is "lncRNA (ENSMODG00000036173.2)". The record is from RNAcentral. Lineage: Eukaryota; Metazoa; Chordata; Mammalia; Didelphimorphia; Didelphidae.